UACGGGGGGGGCAAGCGUUGUUCGGAAUUACUGGGCGUAAAGGGCUCGUAGGCGGCCAACUAAGUCAGACGUGAAAUCCCUCGGCUUAACCGGGGAACUGCGUCUGAUACUGGAUGGCUUGAGUUCGGGAGAGGGAUGCGGAAUUCCAGGUGUAGCGGUGAAAUGCGUAGAUAUCUGGAGGAACACCGGUGGCGAAGGCGGCAUCCUGGACCGAUACUGACGCUGAGGAGCGAAAGCUAGGGGAGCAAACGGG
RNAcentral lists this ribosomal RNA (253 nucleotides) under uncultured bacterium. RNAcentral's name for it is "partial 16S ribosomal RNA". It matches the Rfam family "Bacterial small subunit ribosomal RNA", at positions 524 to 776 of the family's 1533-position model. The record is from RNAcentral.